RNAcentral lists this ribosomal RNA (117 nucleotides) under Clostridiaceae bacterium. The record is from RNAcentral. Lineage: Bacteria; Bacillati; Bacillota; Clostridia; Eubacteriales; Clostridiaceae.
GCCGGUGACUAUGGCGGUGGGGCCACACCUGUUCCCAUUCCGAACACAGAAGUUAAGCCCACCUGCGCCUAUGGUACUGCGCGGGCAACUGCGUGGGAGAGUCGGUCGUCGCCGGCA